RNAcentral lists this long non-coding RNA (1394 nucleotides) under Ananas comosus (pineapple). RNAcentral describes it as "long non-coding RNA (ACOM_LNC033998)". Lineage: Eukaryota; Viridiplantae; Streptophyta; Magnoliopsida; Poales; Bromeliaceae. The record is from RNAcentral.
UAGAUAAAAAAUUAUACAGUUACGAUGAUAUGAGCUCUUUAGAAUUGAGUGAGUUAUCGUUUGAAUGGUAUAAUCUAACAGAUAAAAAUAGUUAAAUGAUUAAAUCUAACAAUAUAAAACUCGGUAGCGCCAAGCGUUUGAUGCUAUCGAUAAUAUUCCAGCCGGACUCUAUGGCACUGUGUGGUUUGGGAAUAGGGAUAGGGAUAAGCCCUUAUCCCCUCCUUUAUACCCAAACGCUAAUUUUUUACCCGAGAAUAGUAGUUCUCGGUUAUCCCCACCAACAACUCCAUUUUCUAUAUAAAACUUCCUAAUAUUUUUCUUAUCCUCGGGAACAACCCAAUUUUCAUCCAAACGCUAUUUUUCUUAUCCCUAUACUUGUACCUAUCCUUGUAAUAGCUAGUUCUUGCUUAUACCCGAACCAAACGGUACCUAUAUGUAUAUAUACAACUAGGCUGGAAGACUAUCAAUAGCACCAAGCGCUUGGUGCUAUUAGAUUUUUCGGCCCUUAGAUAAAAAAAUAUACGGUUACGAUGAUGUGGACUUUAUAGGGUUGAGUGAGUUAUUGGUUGAAUAGUAUAAUCUAACGGAUAAAAAUAAUUAAAGGGUUAAAUCUAACGAUAGAAAACUCGGUAGCAUCAAGCGCUUGAUGUUAUCGAUAGUAUCCCAGUCGGACUUACUCAACCCUAGGUGGCUCACAUCAUCUUAACCGUAUAUUUUUUUAUCUAAAGGCCAAAAAUCUAAUAAUAUCAAGCGCUCGGUGCUAUCGAUAGUAUAACAACCUAAUUCUAUACAUAUAUAUAUAUAUAUAUAUAUAUAUAUAUAUAUAUAUAUAUAUAGAAUUAGGCUACUAUACUAUCUAUAGUACCGAGCUCCGGUACUAUAGUGUUUGUUUUCGAUCUUAGGGCAUUCAAAUCAACGAUCCACACCGUUAAAUAUGAUCUAGGGUAUAUGAAUUUCUUAGGAAUAAAAUUUUAGUUUUUUUCGAUAUCGUUUACUUAGUAAAUAAAUUAUAUCAAAAUGGACGGUGGAAAUUGAAUAAUCUUUAAAAUUUGAGCAUAGGACUUUUAAAUUCAAGAUCAAGAAUGUUAACCUUAAUCUAUAUAGUUUAAAGUAUUUUCUAUCAAAAUUUGAAGAAAUUUAGAUUCUUCUACACCGUUAAACUCCAAACUCGUCAUAAUAGCCAUUGAAAAUUGACAAUUUUGAAAUAGUUGAUCAUAAAGUAAACUAUGUCGAAAAAAUAUAAAAUUUUAUUUCUAGAAACUUUAAAUACCCUAGAUCAGUUUUAACAGUGUGGAUCGUUGAUUUGAAUGCCCUAAGAUCGAAAACCAACACUAUAGUACCGGAACUCGGUACUAUAGAUAGUAUAGUAGCCUAGCUCUAUAUAUAUAUAUAUC